RNAcentral lists this long non-coding RNA (3462 nucleotides) under Canis lupus familiaris (dog). RNAcentral describes it as "lncRNA (ENSCAFG00845001879.1)". Lineage: Eukaryota; Metazoa; Chordata; Mammalia; Carnivora; Canidae. The record is from RNAcentral.
UUUUUUUUUUUUUUUUUUUUUUUUUUUGGCUAGGGGAUUUUUGCAUAGUUAGCUCCUCUACCUCAUUUGGGUCUUGGUUUGAAUGCUCUCUCUUCAGAAAGGUCUUCCUCGAUCACUCUUUCAUGAGAAGACAAUCCCCCGUUGUUCUCCAUUCCCUUACGUGACUUCAUUUCUCUUCGUUAAGGCUUACUGUUACCGAAAACUAUAUUUAUUUUACUUAUCGAUUAGCCAUUACUCUCAUUAAUACAUAAACUCCGCAAGUACAGGGAUGUUGCACGUCUCACCAGGCCACGGUUGUGUUCUCAGAGCCUGCACAAAUCUUGGCAUAAGGCAGGGCCCCACGAAGUAUGUGUUGCGUGAAUAAAAGAAUCUUAUUCCCAAACAAGGCUGAGGUUAUCCUCCAAAACACUCUUUAAUCCCUCUUCCCUGCCGCUUCACUCCCAGUAGACACAACAGGCCUGGUACACACUGCCACUUCUACCUGGAUUAAAGCAGCAGCCACCCAACUUCUCCCCAACGCCACCCUGUGUCCUCCUCCAAAGAAUCCCCCUGGCAGGUGAUUUUAUCAAAACACGGCUCUCAUGGAGCCACCAGCUCCUAUUUAAAGCCUUCUCCAUGGUUCUUAAGAUAAAGACCAAAUUCUUACUGGGGCCAGUAAGACACGGUAUGGACUGGCUUCAGCCUUGGCGUGCGGCCUCAUCUCACUCCACCGGCCUCUUGAUGUUCCCCCACCGCUUGGUUUCACUGUUCCCUUCUGUGGCCGGGCCUCUGCACAAACGUCCUCUGCUGUCCGGCCUGCUCGCCUCCUCACCGUCCCUCAAACUCUCCACCUCCUGCUUCAGAUACCAAGCAGGUGUCACUUCCUGGGGUUCCCGUCACCCACGCCCAUAACACUGGGUGGCUCCACUCGGGAACAUUUACCUUUAAGUGUAAUUCUGUAAUCAGCAGUCCUGGUGGGUUUUUGGAAAUGAAUGAUUGUCCUCAUUUGGGGGACUCUUCACUCCAAGACAGCACAGAUCAUGCACUGGCAAAUCUCUGGGGGCAAGACUAGUGCUUGGGCCCGGCUGGCACUGAGGAAAUACUUGCUGAGUGAGUGAAAAAGGCGGCACCUUGUUAGGAAGCAAAGAGCUAGAAGUUGGCAUCAAAUCCACGUAGCAAGACUGCCCACACGUACUUGAAGAAGAGCUGAAGACAAAGAUACGGGUGAAAAUCUGCAAGAUACGAAUGAUAAACCGCUAUUUAAACAGAAGGAAACCCAGGGAAGCUCAGGGCAAUGCAAACCCUGGAAGGGCACUGCCUGCAGACUGGAAAAGAAUGGGACGAAGACAGUCUGUGUCAUUAAGGAACUAGACCAGAACCAGUCAAACAAUUGGCUAAAACUACAGAGUUAUGACUUAGGGAAUGAUGGUAACUAGGUGAAAGGUUACACCUCCAUAUCCUAUUAAGGACUCCUUGACUCAUCGGUCUUUCUGGAAACAUUUGCCUCUGCAAAGAAACUCUUCAGGCUUGCCUUCUUCUUGGCGUUUUCAUUUAUAAAAAUUCUCCCAAAGAGUCCUCAGCACCCCCCCCCCCCCGCCCCGGAAAAUGUUUUAAAUACAUUUUACUGUGGUCCGAUAGGUGUACACCAAUAGCUCAGUGAGGCAAGGGCCAGGGAGGGGAUGCCAUAUAACAGAAAGAACCCACUUUUGCUCCUGAUUAAAGUCACUCAUGUAUGACUUCAGGAGCCGUACACACUAAAAAUUCUGGAACAACGCAGGAAAUUAGGGGUUACGGGACGAGGCCUGAUUUGCAAGCCUCCACUGUUGUCCUUUUAAUCACCUGAAGCCAGAAUCUGUGUCACCCUAAGUUCUCCGAGGUUCAGGAAGAGGGCAUUUGUCUAUUUUGCUUUAUCCCAGGGUUCUUUCAAAAGGUGAUGUAACACUGGCGUGCAUGAAAAGCAAGCUGACUUUGGCACCUGAUCCCUGGGUGGCUCAGCGGUUUGGCACCUGCCUUUGGCCCAGGGCGCGAUCCUGGAGACCCGGGAUCGAUUCCCUGGGCUGAAGGCUGAGCCACCCAGGCCGCCCUUGACUUUCACUUUUUAAGAUUCCUCCCACCAUCCUUUGCUUUGCUCACCCUGUACCUACAUGGUCAAGGCACCCGCACACUCAGUGUGGGUUAAAAACAAAACAAAACCCUGUCCUUUGUGGCUGCAGCGGCUGUUGGCUGGGCCUGUGGAAUGGCAGAAAGAAUGACAGAAAUAAUGUCGCGCUUUCACUUCCCAGCCCUUGUGGUCCAGGAGCUCCGCAGGAUGAACUUCCCUCAUCUGAGAACCAAGGGCACCUGCUGUUUUUAUUGUUUCCUGGCAUUUUCCCCCCAACCCCUGUCGUGUCACUUAAUGUUAUGCUGUCAAGUAACUAAGCCAACCCCCCUCCCCCGACUUUUUGGAGGCCAGCUCCCUUUUCUCCAGGCUGUCCUCUUAAUUUCCCUGAACAAGAGCAGUUGGGAAAUCUUCCUGCUGCCCUCCAUCCUCCACCCUCCACGGGAGUCCAGGAGGCACAGCUGGGUUGCAGCAGGUCCUGCCCGGGUGUCGGUGGGCUGGCUGUGCUCGGGACCUCCAUGCAAACGUGCAGCUCUUGUCCCUUCCAUGGCCAGCAUGGCUGAUAGAUGAAGCCGAAGCCAGCUCCUUUGGCCACAGAUCCUAUUCUCCAUGUGAUACUGAGCAAUGCCCCACGGACGCAGAAUUUCUAUUGCCACGUGGUCCUGGUCUGUCCGGUCUCCAAAGCGACACUGCAGAUCGUUUUCUACUUUUAUUGUCCCAAGAAGCCUAAACACUGUAUUGAUGAUCCAAAACUGGAAUAUUCCCUUUGUAUAAAGGAACUCCUUUAUACAGAAUUUAGCAGGUAUCAUUUCUAUGCUGUCCAGAUCAACAACUUCUUGCCUCUACCCACCCAAGAACACAAAAAAACUCUGAAGCUUGAAACCAGCCCCACCUGACAGGACUUUCUGUACGGAUGGAAAUGCUCUGUGUCUGCUCUCCCCACAACAGUAGCCACUGCCCACAGACGGCUAUCCAACACUUAAAACGGGGCUAGUGUGACUGGGGUAUUAACAUUUUUUAUUUUAAUGAACUAAAAUGUAAAUGUAAACGUACCUAGUGGCUUUAAAGAAUUGUAAAGUAUCUCAGAUCUUGCCCUACUUGCAAGCUAACAAAUAAGCGUGCCACAGUUCCAGGGAUGCUGGGAGAAGACCUGAGACUUCUAAGUAUGGACAAGGGGCUACACUUCUCACAAAACGAGCAGAAGCAGGAGUAUUAACCUAGUUGUACCAGCUCUUUGAAGCCCAGCUCCCACAGUAUGAUGCACACAGGGUAAAGGGAUACCUAUAGACUUAAUGAUUUGCAUUACAGAAGGGGAACCUUGAGUUCAGAGUACCCCAAUCUCUUACACUAGACAGUUAGCUUUUCUUAAAAAAAAAAAAAAAAAA